Molecule: ribosomal RNA, 768 nt
Filed under: uncultured bacterium
Lineage: Bacteria
Description: bacterial SSU rRNA
Rfam family: Bacterial small subunit ribosomal RNA
Source: RNAcentral
AGAGUUUGAUCCUGGCUCAGAUUGAACGCUGGCGGCGUGCCUAACACAUGCAAGUCGAGCGGUAACAGGUGUAGCAAUACAUGCUGACGAGCGGCGAACGGGUGAGUAAUGCUUCGGAAUCUACCCAAUGGUGGGGAAUAACCAGCCGAAAGGUUGGCUAAUACCGCAUACGUCCUACGGGAGAAAGCAGGGGAUCGUAAGACCUUGCGCCAAUGGAUGAGCCGAAGUCGGAUUAGCUAGUUGGUAGGGUAACGGCCUACCAAGGCGACGAUCCGUAGCUGGUCUGAGAGGACGACCAGCCACACUGGGACUGAGACACGGCCCAGACUCCUACGGGAGGCAGCAGUGGGGAAUAUUGGACAAUGGGGGAAACCCUGAUCCAGCGACGCCGCGUGUGUGAAGAAGGCCUGCGGGUUGUAAAGCACUUUUAGUGGGGAUGAAAAGUUCAGGGCUAACACCUCUGGAUCUUGACCUAACCCACAGAAAAAGCACCGGCUAACUCUGUGCCAGCAGCCGCGGUAAUACAGAGGGUGCAAGCGUUAAUCGGGAUUACUGGGCGUAAGCGUGCGUAGACGGUUACAUAAGUCGGGUGUGAAGCCCCGGCUCAACCUGGAAUUGCAUUCGAGACUGCGUAGCUAGGGUGCGAGAGGAAGCGGAAUUUCCGUGUAGCGUGAAUGCGUAGAUAUCGGAAGAACACAGUGCGAAGCGCUCUGGUCAGCACGACGUCAGGCACGAAGCGUGGGACCAACAGAUUAGAUACCUGUAGUC